This 304-nucleotide long non-coding RNA is filed under the name Homo sapiens (human). Its description in RNAcentral is "HSALNT0406842". The record is from RNAcentral. Lineage: Eukaryota; Metazoa; Chordata; Mammalia; Primates; Hominidae.
AGGCUACUAGGAAACAGCCCUUAAUCCGAAGUGGAAUCUAACAUCUGGGAAAUCAGCCGUAUUUGCCUGUGAGAAAGAAAGGGAGAAGCCAUAUUUACAUCAGCCCAUGGUCCAAGGAAUUCGACAGCGAAGACCCAAGAUACUUCCAAGAGAAAGGCACGGUCCAUUGAAGAUUCUUUACAACCUCGGAAAGGGGAAACUGCUUUCACUGGGCUCUCAUUGUCUUCUGCCUGCCACCGUGUAAGAUGUGCCUUUCUCCUUCCACCAUGACUGUGAGGCCUCCUCAGCCAUGUGGAACUGUGAG